RNAcentral lists this ribosomal RNA (253 nucleotides) under uncultured bacterium. Its description in RNAcentral is "partial 16S ribosomal RNA". It matches the Rfam family "Bacterial small subunit ribosomal RNA", at positions 524 to 776 of the family's 1533-position model. The record is from RNAcentral.
UACGAAGGGGGCUAGCGUUGUUCGGAAUUACUGGGCGUAAAGCGCGUGUAGGCGGGUCCUUAAGUCAGGGGUGAAAUGCCGGAGCUCAACUUCGGAACUGCCUUUGAUACUGGGGAUCUUGAGUCCGGGAGAGGUGAGUGGAACUGCGAGUGUAGAGGUGAAAUUCGUAGAUAUUCGCAAGAACACCAGUGGCGAAGGCGGCUCACUGGCCCGGAACUGACGCUGAGACGCGAAAGCGUGGGGAGCAAACAGG